CGAGCGGACAGAUGGGAGCUUGCUCCCUGAUGUUAGCGGCGGACGGGUGAGUAACACGUGGGUAACCUGCCUGUAAGACUGGGAUAACUCCGGGAAACCGGGGCUAAUACCGGAUGGUUGUUUGAACCGCAUGGUUCAAAAAUAUCAGGUGGUUUCCGCUACCACUUACCUAUGGACCCGCGGCGCAUUAGCUAGUUGGUGAGGUAACGGCUCACCAAGGCAACGAUGCGUAGCCGACCUGAGAGGGUGAUCGGCCACACUGGGACUGACACACGGCCCACACUCCUACGGGAGGCAGCAGUAGGGAAUCUUCCGCAAUGGACGAAAGUCUGACGGAGCAACGCCGCGUGAGUGAUGAAGGUUUUCGGAUCGUAAAGCUCUGUUGUUAGGGAAGAACAAGUACCGUUCGAAUAGGGCGGUACCUUGACGGUACCUAACCAGAAAGCCACGGCUAACUACGUGCCAGCAGCCGCGGUAAUACGUAGGUGGCAAGCGUUGUCCGGAAUUAUUGGGCGUAAAGGGCUCGCAGGCGGUUUCUUAAGUCUGAUGUGAAAGCCCCCGGCUCAACCGGGGAGGGUCAUUGGAAACUGGGGAACUUGAAUGCAGAAGAGGAGAGUGGAAUUCCACGUGUAGCGGUGAAAUGCGUAGAGAUGUGGAGGAACACCAGUGGCGAAGGCGACUCUCUGGUCUGUAACUGACGCUGAGGAGCGGAAAGCGUGGGGGAGCGAACAGGAUUAGAUACCCUGGUAG
RNAcentral lists this ribosomal RNA (750 nucleotides) under Bacillus subtilis. RNAcentral describes it as "bacterial SSU rRNA". It matches the Rfam family "Bacterial small subunit ribosomal RNA", at positions 63 to 793 of the family's 1533-position model. Lineage: Bacteria; Bacillati; Bacillota; Bacilli; Caryophanales; Bacillaceae. The record is from RNAcentral.